This 453-nucleotide ribosomal RNA is filed under the name uncultured Proteiniphilum sp. Its description in RNAcentral is "partial 16S ribosomal RNA". It matches the Rfam family "Bacterial small subunit ribosomal RNA", at positions 341 to 792 of the family's 1533-position model. The record is from RNAcentral. Lineage: Bacteria; Pseudomonadati; Bacteroidota; Bacteroidia; Bacteroidales; Dysgonomonadaceae.
ACGGGAGGCAGCAGUGAGGAAUAUUGGUCAAUGGGCGGAAGCCUGAACCAGCCAAGUCGCGUGAAGGAUGAAGGUAUUAUGUAUUGUAAACUUCUUUAGCAGCAGAGUAAUAAGGGGGUCGUGACCUCCGAUGCAAGUAUGCUGAAAAUAAGGAUCGGCUAACUCCGUGCCAGCAGCCGCGGUAAUACGGAGGAUCCGAGCGUUAUCCGGAUUUAUUGGGUUUAAAGGGUGCGCAGGCGGUUUUUUAAGUCAGUGGUUAAAUCGUGAGGCUCAACCUCAUCACGCCAUUGAUACUGGAAGACUUGAUUGCGGUUGAGGUUGGCGGAAUUCGUCGUGUAGCGGUAAAAUGCAUAGAUAUGACGAAGAACACCGAUUGCGUAGGCAGCUUACCAGACCGUUAAUGACGCUCAUGCACGAAAGUGCGGGGAUCGAACAGGAUUAGAUACCCUGGUA